Molecule: ribosomal RNA, 317 nt
Filed under: uncultured soil bacterium
Lineage: Bacteria
Description: bacterial SSU rRNA
Rfam family: Bacterial small subunit ribosomal RNA
Source: RNAcentral
AGAGUGAACGCUGGCGGCAGGCCUAACACAUGCAAGUCGAACGGCAGCACGAGAGAGCUUGCUCUCUUGGUGGCGAGUGGCGGACGGGUGAGGAAUACGUCGGAAUCUGCCUUUUUGUGGGGGAUAACGUAGGGAAACUUACGCUAAUACCGCAUACGACCUACGGGUGAAAGCGGAGGACCUUCGGGCUUCGCGCAGAAAGAUGAGCCGACGUCGGAUUAGCUAGUUGGAGGGGUAAUGGCCCACCAAGGCGACGAUCCGUAGCUGGUCUGAGAGGAUGAUCAGCCACACUGGGACUGACGACACGGCCCAGACCU